AACGCACGAGACCUGCGGACCUGCGGAGGGAUCAUUAAAAAUGCGGCCGAGUUUGUUUUAUAUGAACGAGGUCAAACUUUUGUUCUGUGCACUGUUUUAUUUUUUGGCUGGGAAUUUAUUCUCGGUCAAUUGGCUGGGGAAUUUGCUCUUUCCUUUGGGAUAGAGUCGAAUUUCCCAGUGUUAUUAUACUAUUCUGACUGAACCAAAACAGAAAAUCGUUUAACUAAAUAACAACUUUCA
Molecule: unclassified non-coding RNA, 240 nt
Filed under: soil metagenome
Description: partial contains 5.8S ribosomal RNA, internal transcribed spacer 2, and large subunit ribosomal RNA
Source: RNAcentral